Molecule: non-coding RNA, 478 nt
Organism: Ciona intestinalis (vase tunicate)
Lineage: Eukaryota; Metazoa; Chordata; Ascidiacea; Phlebobranchia; Cionidae
Source: RefSeq, a predicted model, not a curated record
AAAAGUAAAACAGGUUGACAAGUUUAUUACGGUCGCUGACUCGCUCUAUUAUAUGAGGGUAGGGUCUUUGUUAAGGACCCGGGAUUUUGGCCCAUGACCCUCACGUUUAUGUACAUUCAUGCAACCAGUGUGUGAGUUCUUAUUUCAAAACAGUGCACACAUAUUAUCCAUAUAAAGUUUAAGACACUAUGGGGUCAUAAAUACAUACUAACAUGAUGACAUAUUGCUAGACUUCACCCUGAUUUUUGUAACAAAACAGGGUGAUCUUGUUUAGAGCAAAGUUUUACAGCUUUUACCCUGCUGAUACAUGUCUAUAGAAAGAUAAAGCAAAGUCUAGUACAUUCACCAGUACCACAUCAAUCAAUCAGAUUGCAUAUGCUGAAAAAUCUCCCGCCUAUGACAUAUAACAUUGAUUUUUAAAAAACUGGAUUUUCCUUAUUAUUCUAGAGGAAACUAAUUUUAAAAUGGACAAUGAAAA